CCUCAUUCUAACCUUCACAAUUUAAAUUAUUUUCAUAUAACCGCACACAUUUUUAGCACACACAGAGAGACAGAGAAAGUGAGUAAGUGUGAGAGAGAGAGAGAGAGAGAGAGAGAGAGAAUCAGUGCUAUUCUCUGCACAAAAAAAUCUCUCUCAGGAUAGACCUUGUUUGGAGACACCAAUGAGACAGUACAAAGACUGAAAAGGAAUGGAAUGUAUUUUUCAAAAGUGAUAAAUCCUUGAGAGAAGACACAAUAGAAACAGUAAAGGGCCCUGGACUCAAACUCCCUCUGUGCAAGUCCUGGCUGUGUUUCUUGCUACCGGCGUAAUGGUAGUGCUAUUUAAGCAGCAGUGCAUGUCUCCUCACAUUUGAAAAUAUUGAUUGGGUCUUGAAGACAGAAUAACAAGCGCCAGAACUCAAGCAUUUUGCCAGGAGUGGUGCUGCCUCAUCAGUACUUCAGAUCCAGGCAGGGAAACUGUCAGCAGAACUGCUCCAAAGUCUGCUUUGUGAAAUGCACAUAAGCGGUCUCCCAGACCCACUUUCCAUCCUUCUCCUUUCUGAGGAGGAGGUGGUUAGAAAAAAAAGAAGAAGACAACAAAAGAGUAGAUGAGAGAGAUGUGGCAAAAGAAGAGGCAGAAGAGAAGAGGCAAGAGAAGGAUUCUCCCACCCAUUGCUGUCUUUAGAGAUGCAGGCUAUGAGCCAAAAAGCACAGAUAGCUCCGGAAGCUGAGGACAAGCCACACUGCCCACACUCCCGCAACUGCCCAGAACUGAAUUUUGCCAAUUACCUGCAUAAAUCAGAAAAUGGAUGCUCACUAGAGUCUCCAGAAGGGAGCCUGGCUUGCUGACACCUAGAUUUUUGUCUUGUGAGACUGAUCAGAGGAAUUAUCCCAGCACACUUGACUUCUGAAAUUGUGAUAUAUCUAUGCCUGCAGAAACCCAUGACAUGCAGAAACUAU
This 959-nucleotide long non-coding RNA is filed under the name Homo sapiens (human). RNAcentral describes it as "HSALNT0322356". The record is from RNAcentral. Lineage: Eukaryota; Metazoa; Chordata; Mammalia; Primates; Hominidae.